GGUUUCCUGUGUUGUGUACCAAUUUUAAAGGCAUUGGUUUGGCUAAAAACGUUUCGUCUCCUCUUAGUGCUGCUUACCAUGUGUUUGUGGUGCGAGGGGGAACCAAAAAGCAACUGACGUGUAUCCACUUCUUUUUCGUGCGUGCAUGAAGGGAAUUUGGCCCAUGUCGGCGUGCUCGAUCUCUCGGUUGCGGUGCACAAUUCGGGUAUGAGGCCCCCAAGCCUCUUUUCUACCCAUAAAAUAAGCGUUCUACGCUUCAUGCGAACGACACUCGUUGCCGUUUUGUUCGGGUCCUCGUGACUUGAUUCAUGCGGUGCGGCGUCGAUGAAGGAAUGCUACCUGGUUGAUCCUGCCAGUAGUCAUAUGCGACC
RNAcentral lists this ribosomal RNA (371 nucleotides) under Cymbalaria microcalyx subsp. microcalyx. RNAcentral describes it as "partial small subunit ribosomal RNA". Lineage: Eukaryota; Viridiplantae; Streptophyta; Magnoliopsida; Lamiales; Plantaginaceae. The record is from RNAcentral.